ACUGCCGGGUUAUCGAGUGCCGAGUUUUCGGGACUCUACUGUAUAAUUACUAAAGUAUUUCAUAAGAAAUGAUUUUUUAAAAUGAAAUUUUGUAGAAACUAAGAAUAUACGAUGUAUCUUUGCAAAUCAAGUCCAAUUGUUUUAUAAUGUUUGGAUGAAAACAAUAAAAAUACAAAGUGAAAGAUAGUUAUAUCUUUAUUAAAAUAAAUAGAACAGAACUUAAAAUAUAUAACAACAGAAACAGAUAUAAUAGAAUAUAUAUAUAUGAUAACAGAACAGAACUUAAAUAUAUAAUAAUUGAAAUCUGUUAUACUUUAUCUUUAUACCAAACUUUCAGAAAGACAUGGUAGAACAUAAACUAUAAAUUUGACUAUCCAACAAACAUAUAAACUCUUAUUACAAAAAUUAGUAGAAAACCAAAACAGACAUAAUAACACAAAGGGUCUGCCUGUUGAUUUAAGUGGCGACAACGUGCCUCUUUCUGCUGGAUAUUUGCUUAUCCUAAUAACUGUUCUCCUACUGAUAUCCAGCAUUUCAGCAAUUUCUCCGAAACACUAUUUUCUCUAUGGUGGAUUACCAACUCUCUAAAUUCUUUCGUGAUGGCACGAGGCAUUGUCUUCAGUAUCAUAGCACACCGUUUGACUACGUCAUCCUCAUCCCUGCAUCUCGCCGAGUAUUUCAGGGAAAAUUUUCAUUUCCCCCUAUCGCACAUGGUUUUUUAUUAUCUAUUACGAAAGCCAUAAUAUUAGUCCGCCAUACGUUUUUUAUGAAGACAUCAAUAUUCAUUUUAAACACGUCACAGUUCUCUCGCCGCUAUUAGAACUCUACCCCUCGUUGCUAGCGAACU
RNAcentral lists this long non-coding RNA (847 nucleotides) under Androctonus crassicauda. The record is from RNAcentral. Lineage: Eukaryota; Metazoa; Arthropoda; Arachnida; Scorpiones; Buthidae.